This 758-nucleotide ribosomal RNA is filed under the name uncultured bacterium. RNAcentral's name for it is "bacterial SSU rRNA". It matches the Rfam family "Bacterial small subunit ribosomal RNA", at positions 575 to 1341 of the family's 1533-position model. The record is from RNAcentral.
GCGGGCCUGUAAGUCAGUGGUGAAAUCUCACAGCUUAACUGUGAAACUGCCAUUGAUACUGCAGGUCUUGAGUAAAUUUGAAGUGGCUGGAAUAAGUAGUGUAGCGGUGAAAUGCAUAGAUAUUACUUAGAACACCAAUUGCGAAGGCAGGUCACUAAGAUUUAACUGACGCUGAUGGACGAAAGCGUGGGGAGCGAACAGGAUUAGAUACCCUGGUAGUCCACGCCGUAAACGAUGCUAACUCGUUUUUGGGCUUUCGGGCUCAGAGACCAAGCGAAAGUGAUAAGUUAGCCACCUGGGGAGUACGAACGCAAGUUUGAAACUCAAAGGAAUUGACGGGGGCCCGCACAAGCGGUGGAUUAUGUGGUUUAAUUCGAUGAUACGCGAGGAACCUUACCAAGACUUAAAUGGGAAUUGACAGAUCUGGAAACAGAUCCUUCUUCGGACAAUUUUCAAGGUGCUGCAUGGUUGUCGUCAGCUCGUGCCGUGAGGUGUUAGGUUAAGUCCUGCAACGAGCGCAACCCCUGUCACUAGUUGCUAACAUUCAGUUGAGGACUCUAGUGAGACUGCCUACGCAAGUAGAGAGGAAGGUGGGGAUGACGUCAAAUCAUCACGGCCCUUACGUCUUGGGCCACACACGUAAUACAAUGGCCGGUACAGAGGGCAGCUACACAGCGAUGUGAUGCAAAUCUCGAAAGCCGGUCUCAGUUCGGAUUGGAGUCUGCAACUCGACUCUAUGAAGCUGGAAUCGCUAGUAA